Molecule: ribosomal RNA, 425 nt
Filed under: uncultured bacterium
Lineage: Bacteria
Description: bacterial SSU rRNA
Rfam family: Bacterial small subunit ribosomal RNA
Source: RNAcentral
UGGGGAAUUUUGGACAAUGGGGGCAACCCUGAUCCAGCAAUGCCGCGUGAGUGAAGAAGGCCUUCGGGUUGUAAAGCUCUUUUGUCAGGGAAGAAACGGUUCGGGCUAAUAUCCUGGGCUAAUGACGGUACCUGAAGAAUAAGCACCGGCUAACUACGUGCCAGCAGCCGCGGUAAUACGUAGGGUGCGAGCGUUAAUCGGAAUUACUGGGCGUAAAGCGUGCGCAGGCGGUCGUGCAAGACAGAUGUGAAAUCCCCGGGCUUAACCUGGGAACUGCAUUUGUGACUGUACGGCUGGAGUGCGGCAGAGGGGGAUGGAAUUCCGCGUGUAGCAGUGAAAUGCGUAGAUAUGCGGAGGAACACCGAUGGCGAAGGCAAUCCCCUGGGCCUGCACUGACGCUCAUGCACGAAAGCGUGGGGAGCAAA